AGCAGCCGCGGUAAUUCCAGCUCCAAUAGCGUAUAUUAAAGUUGUUGCGGUUAAAAAGCUCGUAGUUGAAUUUCGGGGUUCAUACGUUGGUCGGGCUAUUUGGUCUGUACUUAUGUAAUGGAUUCCUACCUUCUGAAUAACCGGCAUGCCAUUAAUUUGGUGCGCCGGGGAAGCAGGACUGUUACCUUGAAAAAAUUAGAGUAGCUUAAAGCAGGCUAUCGCCUGAAUACAUUAGCAUGGAAUAAUGAAAUAGGACGGCAUGGUUCUAUUUUGUUGGUUUCUAGGAUCACCGUAAUGAUUAAUAGGGGUAUUGGGGGCAUUAGUAUUCAAUUGUCAGAGGUGAAAUUCUUGGAUUUAUUGAAGACUAACUUCUGCGAAAGCAUUUGCCAAGGAUGUUUUCAUUAAUCAAGAACGAAAGUUAGGGGAUCGAAGACGAUCAGAUACCGUCGUAGUCUUAACCAUAAACCUAUGCCGACUAGGGAUCGGACGAUGUUAAUUUUUAAUGUACUCGUUCGCGCCU
This 520-nucleotide ribosomal RNA is filed under the name uncultured Acaulospora. Its description in RNAcentral is "SSU rRNA". It matches the Rfam family "Eukaryotic small subunit ribosomal RNA", at positions 569 to 1088 of the family's 1831-position model. The record is from RNAcentral. Lineage: Eukaryota; Fungi; Glomeromycota; Glomeromycetes; Diversisporales; Acaulosporaceae.